This is a long non-coding RNA of Puntigrus tetrazona (Sumatra barb), 1259 nucleotides long. RefSeq lists it as uncharacterized. The transcript has 3 exons. The record is from RefSeq and is a predicted model, not a curated record. NCBI's taxonomy places the organism in Eukaryota, Metazoa, Chordata, Actinopteri, Cypriniformes, Cyprinidae.
UUUGUUUUUUGUUUUUCUUUGUUUUAACAAAUCACAUCGGCUCAAAAGCGACCACGAAUAAAUAAAAGGCAAAAAUAGCCUUUUGUCAAGUGGUGUAUGAAACACGGCUCGCGCGGAAGUCGCUUUCGAGCAGAUUCCUGUUUCCAUGAUAUUCCCGACCACGUGUGGAGAAUGUUAAUUGGCUGCACGAAGUAAACGACGUGACAGUGGGAAGAGCUAGGAAACAGCUAGGCGUCGGUCACAGUCCCCGCUUUAUAUUUUGAGUCAGUCAAAUUAAAGCUAACUUCUUAUGCUAACUAGCGGUUCUGACACUGAGCAAUUUAAACUUGUGCUUUAAAGUGAACAUUAAAAACCUCUGCUGACAACCACCUCCCUGGUGCUGAGUCAGGAUUAUUCUCCUUGUGGAGUAGGGGGUCACCAUACUAGUUACAACUGGUUUUAGAAGCUUACCUUGACUGUAGGCCAAGCGCUCCAUACUUUCACUAUGUGUGAUGCCCCACCGGUGGAGGCUCUGAGGGGAAUACAUCACUGCUGCUCCACGACCCCUUCCAGACUGAAGACGAACUUCUUGUCUCUCGAAAACGCGGGGAAUUCUCAGGAGGAUAUUAUUUAAACAAAUCUGAUCAUGUACCUAACAUUACAUGUAUUCAGGCUUUCUUUAAAUAUAAAAAACGUUAUUUUAUUUAGUGACAUCCAUGGAAUUUUGUAUUAAAACCCCUCUCCUUCUAUGCCUAUCUUUAACCAGAAGAUGGCAGUGUCUUCCAUAAAGAGAAACAAAUCUUAAACCGUGUUCAUUUGGUCUUUUAUCAAUUUUGAUCUUGCAAAAACACUUCAUUAGUAGUGGUGAAGUGGUCUUUCCACAAUUAAAGUAGUGUUUUUCUAAGAUUCGCUUUUUCUUUUUUUAAUUUGAAAAAGGAAAGGUCACAGACAGGCAACAUUACCAUCAUUAAAUAAUCUCCAUUACAAUUUUACUUCUUCAAUUACUUCGUCUACAUUUUUCCGCCUCUAAUUUAAAAUGAACAUCCACUUCAGGCUCGAUUGAAGAUCUUGCACAUGCAAUCCUCCUUGCAAAGCGUGAAGCUAGUAUGUUGAGAUGAGAGGGCACCUUUUAAUUCAUUGUCUUCAAGUGCUUUGCAUUAAAUUCAUACAAUUAGUAAAACCUUGGAGGUUUUGAAUAGUUGCAUGGCUUUCAUGCCAACAAAACAAAUCUAAACUUAUAUGUAAAUAAUGAAAAAUAAUAAAAUAUUACCUGAAUGAAA